Molecule: ribosomal RNA, 382 nt
Filed under: uncultured organism
Description: bacterial SSU rRNA
Rfam family: Bacterial small subunit ribosomal RNA
Source: RNAcentral
CGCAAUGGGCGAAAGCCUGACGGAGCGACGCCGCGUGAUGGAUGAAGACCUUAGGGUCGUAAACAUCUUUUAUGAGGGAGAAAGUUUAUUGAUAGUACCUCAAGAAUAAGGGGUUGCUAAACUCGUGCCAGCAGCAGCGGUAAUACGAGUGCCCCGAGCGUUAUCCGGAAUCAUUGGGCGUAAAGGGUGUGUAGGUGGCUGUGUUAGUCAAUUGUUAAAGACCCGGGCUUAACCCGGGAAAGGCGAUUGAUACGGCACAACUAGAGGAUGGCAGGGAUGUGUGGGACUCAUGGAGUAGGGGUGAAAUCCGUUGAUAUCAUGGGGAACACCGAAAGCGAAGGCAGCACAUUGGGCCACUCCUGACACUGAAACACGAAAGCGU